This 229-nucleotide ribosomal RNA is filed under the name uncultured bacterium. RNAcentral describes it as "partial 16S ribosomal RNA". It matches the Rfam family "Bacterial small subunit ribosomal RNA", at positions 15 to 228 of the family's 1533-position model. The record is from RNAcentral.
GAUCUGGCUCAGGACGAACGCUGGCGGCGUGCUUAACACAUGCAAGUCGAACGAGAAUCUGCAAAAAGAGGAUUCGUCCAAUUGAAGCAGAGGACAGUGGCGGACGGGUGAGUAACGCGUGAGGAACCUGCCUUUCAGAGGGGGACAACAGUUGGAAACGACUGCUAAUACCGCAUAACAUAUAGAUGUCGCAUGGCAUUUAUAUCAAAGAUUUAUCGCUGAAAGAUGG